GACGAACGCUGGCGGCGUGCUUUAGGCAUGCAAGUCGAACGCGAAAGCCCCUUCGGGGGUGAGUAGAGUGGCGAACGGGUGAGUAACACGUGGGUAACCUGCCCCUCGCAGGGGGAUAACCGGGGGAAACCCCGGCUAAUACCCCGUACGCUUGCUGGGGCGCAUGCUCCGGCAAGGAAAGGUAGCUUCGGCCAUCCGGCGAGGGAGGGGCCCGCGGCCCAUUAGCUAGUUGGUGGGGUAACGGCCCACCCCGGCGACGGUGGGUAGCUGGCCUGAGAGGGUGGUCAGCCACACUGGGACUGAGACGCGGCCCAGACUCCUGCGGGGGGCAGCAGCCAGGAAUCUUGCGCAAGGGGCGAAAGCCUGACGCAGCAACGCCGCGUGGGCGAUGAAGGCCUUCGGGUCGUAAAGCCCUGUUGUCGGGGACGAAGGGCGAAGGGUUAAUAGCCUCUAGCCUGACGGUACCCGACGAGGAAGCCCCGGCUAACUACGU
Molecule: ribosomal RNA, 493 nt
Filed under: uncultured bacterium
Lineage: Bacteria
Description: partial 16S ribosomal RNA
Rfam family: Bacterial small subunit ribosomal RNA
Source: RNAcentral